UGAGUUUGAUCAUGGCUCAGAUUGAACGCUGGCGGCAUGCUUUACACAUGCAAGUCGAGCGGCAGCGCGGGGGCAACCCUGGCGGCGAGCGGCGGACGGGUGAGUAAUGCAUCGGAACGUAUCCCGUAGUGGGGGACAACCCAGCGAAAGCUGGGCUAAUACCGCAUAUGCUCUACGGAGGAAAGCAGGGGACUCGCAAGGGCCUUGUGCUAUGGGAGCGGCCGAUGUCCGAUUAGCUAGUUGGUGGGGUAAAGGCUUACCAAGGCGACGAUCGGUAGCUGGUCUGAGAGGAUGAUCAGCCACACUGGGACUGAGACACGGCCCAGACUCCUACGGGAGGCAGCAGUGGGGAAUUUUGGACAAUGGGGGCAACCCUGAUCCAGCCAUGCCGCGUGCGGGAAGAAGGCCUUCGGGUUGUAAACCGCUUUUGGUCGGGAAGAAAAGGCUUCGCCUAAUACGCGGGGCCAUUGACGGUACCGGCAGAAUAAGCACCGGCUAACUACGUGCCAGCAGCCGCGGUAAUACGUAGGGUGCGAGCGUUAAUCGGAAUUACUGGGCGUAAAACGUGCGCAGGCGGUAAGUUAAGUCUGAUGUGAAAGCCCCGGGCUCAACCUGGGAAUGGCAUUGGAAACUGGCUUGCUAGAGUGUGGCAGAGGGGGA
This 660-nucleotide ribosomal RNA is filed under the name uncultured bacterium. RNAcentral's name for it is "bacterial SSU rRNA". It matches the Rfam family "Bacterial small subunit ribosomal RNA", at positions 1 to 661 of the family's 1533-position model. The record is from RNAcentral.